AGGACGAACGCUGGCGGCGUGCUUAACACAUGCAAGUCGAGCGGAAAGGCCCUUCGGGGUACUCGAGCGGCGAACGGGUGAGUAACACGUGAGCAACCUGCCCCUGGCUCUGGGAUAGCCUCCGGAAACGGGGAUUAAUACCGGAUAUUCACUGUCUCCUGCAUGGGGGGUGAUGGAAAGUUUUUCGGCUAGGGUGGGGCUCGCGGCCUAUCAGCUUGUUGGGGGGGUGACGGCCCACCAAGGCGACGAC
Molecule: ribosomal RNA, 250 nt
Filed under: uncultured bacterium
Lineage: Bacteria
Description: partial small subunit ribosomal RNA
Rfam family: Bacterial small subunit ribosomal RNA
Source: RNAcentral